CAGUGCAAGGUGGAGUGCAAGGAGGGGAGAGGGCUGCAAUACAAAGCACAGGGCAACCACAAAAGAGGGUGCAUUGCAAAGCAGGGGUGCUAAUUCAAGGCAGAGGGCAGGGAGCUGUGUGUCAGUGCAGUGCAAGGGAGUGUAAGAAAAAAGUACAACAAGGUGCAAGGAUGUGGGGUUAUAUGCAAAGUGGGGUGCUAGGAGGCAAGAAGAGUGCACAGAGGUGAGAGUGCAAUGCAAGGCAGGGCACAAGGAGGCUGGAGGUGCAAUGCAAAGGAGAGUGCAAAGAGAUGGCAUGGGCUCCUGAAGCGCUGGAGAUCGGCCGUCCUUGGGGAAGGCCGCUCGGUUUAGCCUCCUGGCGGAGCUGGGUGCGAGGAGGAAACGUCAGUUCUGCUGCAGCAACGUGGUGGAAGUGAUCAACAGCAAAUGUGACUGUGAAUUCCAGUGAAUCACCAGCGGGAGCAGGAACCAGCUAGAGAGGUAAACCCAGACAGAAACACCAGAAGGAGGGCUGUGUUUUCUGAAGUCGUGCAAGGAAUGAGUAGCUGAUUUGUUCAGAGAAACCUGGAAUGGGGACCUUGCUGUACCUGCUGGCUGAAGACCAUAUGGCUCCAAGUCUAGAGGUAGUACGGAGAAGUCCUCAAGUUUAUAAAUAAUGUUGGAUUUAAGAGGCUUUUUGCUCCUUCCGCUAAGGCAGGAAAGGGAAGUAGCCAUCUUCUCCUGUUGUGCUGCUGGGAUUACCCGGGAGCUGCAGCCUGACGUUCUAAAUGAACAUUUAAGCUGUUCAUCACACUUUAUUAAUAGAUGUCAAAAUGUUUAACUGUGGAAGUAAAUGCUAUUUUAGAGAAAUGGA
Long non-coding RNA from Rhea pennata, 853 nucleotides. RefSeq lists it as uncharacterized. The record is from RefSeq and is a predicted model, not a curated record. Lineage: Eukaryota; Metazoa; Chordata; Aves; Rheiformes; Rheidae. The transcript is spliced from 4 exons.